GAGCUAUCUGGCUAUGGCAUCUGUCGACCAAUUGAUUGACAUGGUUUUCAGCUCAUCUGGAUGAUUAGGGAGCUAUCUACUUUGAUGUUCAUCCUUCCUAAAGAUGUGGGCUCCCUCAAAGAGAAUAACCUAAAAUGAUUAUAGGAUAAACAAUUUUCAGUCAAGGGUGCAGGAGUAGCUGCAGUCCCCUGCUAAAAUAUCCAGACAAGUUCUAAGAGGAGAUUCUAAAUUAAUAGCUCUUAUAAAGCAGAAAUACUCUAUUUUCAAUGAAAAAAGUUUUA
This is a non-coding RNA of Rattus norvegicus (Norway rat), 281 nucleotides long. The record is from Rfam. Lineage: Eukaryota; Metazoa; Chordata; Mammalia; Rodentia; Muridae.